Molecule: long non-coding RNA, 719 nt
Organism: Gadus macrocephalus (Pacific cod)
Lineage: Eukaryota; Metazoa; Chordata; Actinopteri; Gadiformes; Gadidae
Exons: 2
Source: RefSeq, a predicted model, not a curated record
GCUCCUCUGCACCAGGAGGUAGACAGGAGGAGAAGAGGUUAGAGGAGGAUAAAUGGUUAGAGGAGAGGAGGUUAGAGACUGAGAGGAGGUAGAGAGAUGGUUAGAGGAGAGGAGGUUAGAGACUGAGAGGAGGUAGAGAGAUGGUUAGAGGAGGUAGAGAGAUGGUUAGAGGGGGAGAGGAGGUAGAGAGAUGGUUAGAGGGGGAGAGGAGGUAGAGAGAUGGUUAGAGGGGGAGAGGAGGUAGAGAGAUGGUUGGAGGAGAGGAGGUUAGAGACUGCGAGGAGGUAGAGAGAUGGUUAGAGGAGGUAGAGAGAUGGUUAGAGGAGGUAGAGAGAUGGUUAGAGGAGGUAGAGAGAUGGUUAGAGGAGGAAGAGAGAUGGUUAGAGGAGGAGAGGAGGUAGAGAGAUGGUUAGAGGAGAUAAGCGACCGAGAGGAGGAUGUUGACCACCAGGCUGUCCGACAGCAGGCUCCUUACCGUUCAACACCCGCUCACAUGUCACCAUCUUGAUAUCGAUCAGCUCCUGGAAGGGAAAGGACAGACAAUGAGGACAUGACCGGGCUACCGGUGGAGCUGGGGGGCUACUAGGGUCCGUACCCACCUCACAGUACACGAUGUCCGCUCCGUAGUCCAGCGCCAGCAGUCUCAUCGGCAGAGUGCCGACCCGCACCAUCGGGGCCAGGGCGGUGAUGUCCCUGAAGCACAGACCCCCUGAUGUUGC